RNAcentral lists this ribosomal RNA (25 nucleotides) under Mustelus asterias (starry smooth-hound). RNAcentral's name for it is "partial 12S ribosomal RNA". RNAcentral also lists the same sequence under 2 other names. The record is from RNAcentral. Lineage: Eukaryota; Metazoa; Chordata; Chondrichthyes; Carcharhiniformes; Triakidae.
UGUACUGGAAAGUGCACUUGGAAUC